RNAcentral lists this ribosomal RNA (509 nucleotides) under Boophis picturatus. Its description in RNAcentral is "partial 16S ribosomal RNA". It matches the Rfam family "Bacterial large subunit ribosomal RNA", at positions 1922 to 2598 of the family's 2925-position model. Lineage: Eukaryota; Metazoa; Chordata; Amphibia; Anura; Mantellidae. The record is from RNAcentral.
AUUUAACGGCCGCGGUACCCUAACCGUGCGAAGGUAGCAUAAUCACUUGUUCUUUAAAUGAGGACUAGUAUCAAUGGCAUCACGAGGAUCAUACUGUCUCCUCACUCCAAUCAGUGAAACUGAUCUUCCCGUGAAGAAGCGGGAAUGUACAUAUAAGACGAGAAGACCCCAUGGAGCUUUAAACCCGACAGCACCUGUUACCCACAUAUCUUUAUAUUUAUAUAGCAAAUGCUUGUUCGGUUUUAGGUUGGGGUGACCAUGGAGUAAAAAAUAACCUCCACGAAAAAAGGCAUAAAACCCUUAUCAAAGAGCCACAUCUCUAUGAAUUAGCAAACUAAUUUCUAAUGAUCCGAUAUUCGAUCAACGAACCAAGUUACCCUGGGGAUAACAGCGCAAUCCGCCUUAAGAGCUCCUAUCGACAGGCGGGUUUACGACCUCGAUGUUGGAUCAGGGUCUCCCAGUGGUGCAACAGCUACUAAAGGUUCGUUUGUUCAACGAUUAAAACCCUA